This 176-nucleotide ribosomal RNA is filed under the name uncultured bacterium. RNAcentral describes it as "partial 16S ribosomal RNA". It matches the Rfam family "Bacterial small subunit ribosomal RNA", at positions 338 to 527 of the family's 1533-position model. The record is from RNAcentral.
AUUACGGGAGGCAGCAGUGGGGAAUAUUGGACAAUGGGCCACAAGCCUGAUCCAGCAAUUCUGUGUGCACGAUGAAGGUCUUCGGAUCGUAAAGUGCUUUCAGUUGGGAAGAAGAAAGUGACGGUACCAACAGAAGAAGCGACGGCUAAAUACGUGCCAGCAGCCGCGGUAAUAAU